GCGGGUGUAGUUCAGUUGGCAGAAUGUCUGCUUCCCAAGCAGAAGGUCACGGGUUCGAGCCCCGUCACCCGCUCCA
Molecule: transfer RNA, 76 nt
Filed under: Candidatus Wirthbacteria bacterium CG2_30_54_11
Lineage: Bacteria; Candidatus Wirthbacteria
Description: tRNA-Gly
Rfam family: tRNA
About the family: Transfer RNA (tRNA) molecules are approximately 80 nucleotides in length. Their secondary structure includes four short double-helical elements and three loops (D, anti-codon, and T loops).
Source: RNAcentral